RNAcentral lists this ribosomal RNA (460 nucleotides) under uncultured bacterium. RNAcentral's name for it is "partial 16S ribosomal RNA". It matches the Rfam family "Bacterial small subunit ribosomal RNA", at positions 338 to 795 of the family's 1533-position model. The record is from RNAcentral.
CCUACGGGAGGCAGCAGUGAGGAAUAUUGGUCAAUGGACGCAAGUCUGAACCAGCCAUGCCGCGUGCAGGAAGACGGCUCUAUGAGUUGUAAACUGCUUUUUUACGAGGGUAAACGCAGAUACGCGUAUCUGUCUGAAAGUCUCGUACGAAUAAGGAUCGGCUAACUCCGUGCCCGCAGCCGCGGUAAUACGGCGGGUUUAAGGGUUAUCCGGAUUUAUUGGGUUUAAAGGGUGCGUAGGCGGUCGGAUAAGUUAGAGGUGAAAUCCCGAGGCUCAACUUCGGAAUUGCCUCUGAUACUGUUCUGCUAGAGAGUAGGUGCGGUAGGCGGAAUGUAUGGUGUAGCGGUGAAAUGCUUAGAGAUCAUACAGAACACCGAUUGCGAAGGCAGCUUACCAAGCUACUUCUGACGUUGAGGCACGAAAGCGUGGGGAGCAAACAGGAUUAGAUACCCUGGUAGUC